RNAcentral lists this ribosomal RNA (465 nucleotides) under uncultured bacterium. RNAcentral describes it as "partial 16S ribosomal RNA". It matches the Rfam family "Bacterial small subunit ribosomal RNA", at positions 28 to 507 of the family's 1533-position model. The record is from RNAcentral.
GACGAACGCUGGCGGCGUGCUUAACACAUGCAAGUCGAGCGAGGCCCCUCCUUCGGGAGGGUGUCCUAGCGGCGAACGGGUGAGUAACACGUGGGCAACCUGCCCUCAGCUCUGGGAUAACUCCGGGAAACCGGGGCUAAUACCGGAUACGACCUCCACGGGCAUCUGCGGAGGUGGAAAGUUUUUCGGCUGAGGAUGGGCCCGCGGCCUAUCAGCUAGUUGGUGGGGUAGUGGCCCACCAAGGCGACGACGGGUAGCCGGCCUGAGAGGGCGACCGGCCACACUGGGACUGAGCCACGGCCCAGACUCCUACGGGAGGCAGCAGUGGGGAAUAUUGCGCAAUGGGCGAAAGCCUGACGCAGCGACGCCGCGUGAGGGACGAAGGCCUUCGGGUUGUAAACCUCUUUCAGCAGGGACGAAGCGAAAGUGACGGUACCUGCAGAAGAAGCACCGGCCAACUACGUG